Molecule: ribosomal RNA, 253 nt
Filed under: uncultured bacterium
Lineage: Bacteria
Description: partial 16S ribosomal RNA
Rfam family: Bacterial small subunit ribosomal RNA
Source: RNAcentral
UACAGGGGGGGCAAGCGUUGUUCGGAAUUACUGGGCGUAAAGGGCUCGUAGGUGGCCAACUAAGUCAGACGUGAAAUCCCUCAGCUUAACUGGGGAACUGCGUCUGAUACUGGAUGGCUUGAGUUUGGGAGAGGGAUGCGGAAUUCCAGGUGUAGCGGUGAAAUGCGUAGAUAUCUGGAGGAACACCGGUGGCGAAGGCGGCAUCCUGGACCAACACUGACGCUGAGGAGCGAAAGUGUGGGGAGCGAACAGG